Molecule: ribosomal RNA, 508 nt
Filed under: Salmonella enterica subsp. enterica serovar Derby
Lineage: Bacteria; Pseudomonadati; Pseudomonadota; Gammaproteobacteria; Enterobacterales; Enterobacteriaceae
Also listed under: 1 other name
Description: partial 23S ribosomal RNA
Rfam family: Bacterial large subunit ribosomal RNA
Source: RNAcentral
UUAAUUGGGCGUUAAGUUGCAGGGUAUAGACCCGAAACCCGGUGAUCUAGCCAUGGGCAGGUUGAAGGUUGGGUAACACUAACUGGAGGACCGAACCGACUAAUGUUGAAAAAUUAGCGGAUGACCUGUGGCUGGGGGUGAAAGGCCAAUCAAACCGGGAGAUAGCUGGUUCUCCCCGAAAGCUAUUUAGGUAGCGCCUCGUGAAUUCAUCUCCGGGGGUAGAGCACUGUUUCGGCUAGGGGGCCAUCCCGGCUUACCAACCCGAUGCAAACUGCGAAUACCGGAGAAUGUUAUCACGGGAGACACACGGCGGGUGCUAACGUCCGUCGUGAAGAGGGAAACAACCCAGACCGCCAGCUAAGGUCCCAAAGUCAUGGUUAAGUGGGAAACGAUGUGGGAAGGCCCAGACAGCCAGGAUGUUGGCUUAGAAGCAGCCAUCAUUUAAAGAAAGCGUAAUAGCUCACUGGUCGAGUCGGCCUGCGCGGAAGAUGUAACGGGGCUAAACCAU